CGGGACACGUGGUAUCCUGUCUGAAUAUGGGGGGACCAUCCUCCAAGGCUAAAUACUCCUGACUGACCGAUAGUGAACCAGUACCGUGAGGGAAAGGCGAAAAGAACCCCGGCGAGGGGAGUGAAAAAGAACCUGAAACCGUGUACGUACAAGCAGUGGGAGCACGCUUAGGCGUGUGACUGCGUACCUUUUGUAUAAUGGGUCAGCGACUUAUAUUCUGUAGCAAGGUUAACCGAAUAGGGGAGCCGAAGGGAAACCGAGUCUUAACUGGGCGUUAAGUUGCAGGGUAUAGACCCGAAACCCGGUGAUCUAGCCAUGGGCAGGUUGAAGGUUGGGUAACACUAACUGGAGGACCGAACCGACUAAUGUUGAAAAAUUAGCGGAUGACUUGUGGCUGGGGGUGAAAGGCCAAUCAAACCGGGAGAUAGCUGGUUCUCCCCGAAAGCUAUUUAGGUAGCGCCUCGUGAAUUCAUCUCCGGGGGUAGAGCACUGUUUCGGCAAGGGGGUCAUCCCGACUUACCAACCCGAUGCAAACUGCGAAUACCGGAGAAUGUUAUCACGGGAGACACACGGCGGGUGCUAACGUCCGUCGUGAAGAGGGAAACAACCCAGACCGCCAGCUAAGGUCCCAAAGUCAUGGUUAAGUGGGAAACGAUGUGGGAAGGCCCAGACAGCCAGGAUGUUGGCUUAGAAGCAGCCAUCAUUUAAAGAAAGCGUAAUAGCUCACUGGUCGAGUCGGCCUGCGCGGAAGAUGUAACGGGGCUAAACCAUGCACCGAAGCUGCGGCAGCGACGCUUAUGCGUUGUUGGGUAGGGGAGCGUUCUGUAAGCCUGCGAAGGUGUGCUGUGAGGCAUGCUGGAGGUAUCAGAAGUGCGAAUGCUGACAUAAGUAACGAUAAAGCGGGUGAAAAGCCCGCUCGCCGGAAGACCAAGGGUUCCUGUCCAACGUUAAUCGGGGCAGGGUGAGUCGACCCCUAAGGCGAGGCCGAAAGGCGUAGUCGAUGGGAAACAGGUUAAUAUUCCUGUACUUGGUGUUACUGCGAAGGGGGGACGGAGAAGGCUAUGUUGGCCGGGCGACGGUUGUCCCGGUUUAAGCGUGUAGGCUGGUUUUCCAGGCAAAUCCGGAAAAUCAAGGCUGAGGCGUGAUGACGAGGCACUACGGUGCUGAAGCAACAAAUGCCCUGCUUCCAGGAAAAGCCUCUAAGCAUCAGGUAACAUCAAAUCGUACCCCAAACCGACACAGGUGGUCAGGUAGAGAAUACCAAGGCGCUUGAGAGAACUCGGGUGAAGGAACUAGGCAAAAUGGUGCCGUAACUUCGGGAGAAGGCACGCUGAUAUGUAGGUGAAGCGACUUGCUCGUGGAGCUGAA
Molecule: ribosomal RNA, 1368 nt
Filed under: Escherichia coli
Lineage: Bacteria; Pseudomonadati; Pseudomonadota; Gammaproteobacteria; Enterobacterales; Enterobacteriaceae
Description: partial 23S ribosomal RNA
Rfam family: Bacterial large subunit ribosomal RNA
Source: RNAcentral